AAGUAGAGUCAUGUCAUUGGCAUAUGGAAUUACGCUAAGCACAUUAGUUCUAGUUAUGUGUGGUGCAAACAACUGUGAAGAUCGUAGCGUUAGAGGAUGCCAAAGACUAGCUGCCAUAAAACAAGAUAUGUGUCAGGACAACUGUAUGGCAACUCUCUGUCCUAGGACCUGUGGAUUGUGUCCUUUGAAAUGUUAUUCGUGUGAACAUGUAGAUCAUCCUUCAGAUUGUCUACACAUAGUUCACUGCAGUAAUUUGUCCAUGUCCUGUAUUGCAAGCCAAACAGUAACAGCAUCUCUUGAGAAAAAGUUUCAGCUUGGAUGUGUAGAUAAUAUGG
Molecule: long non-coding RNA, 335 nt
Organism: Mytilus californianus (California mussel)
Lineage: Eukaryota; Metazoa; Mollusca; Bivalvia; Mytilida; Mytilidae
Exons: 4
Source: RefSeq, a predicted model, not a curated record